Molecule: long non-coding RNA, 2965 nt
Organism: Sceloporus undulatus (fence lizard)
Lineage: Eukaryota; Metazoa; Chordata; Lepidosauria; Squamata; Phrynosomatidae
Exons: 6
Source: RefSeq, a predicted model, not a curated record
GGGGGGGAGUGAGUGAGUGAAGGAGAGCAAGCUCUGUCGAUAGGACUACCAGCAACAGCCCUGCUGCAGCAAGAGGGAGAGAGAGAAAUCAGCACAGAGAAGUAAUAACAACAUUGGGCAGCAUGGUUCCUUUACCUAUUUCUUUUUCUCUUUUAUUUUGCAAAAGACAAAAAAAGAGAGAAGAAGUCUUAUUUGGGAGCUUGUUCGAUACUGCCGGAUUCCGUCCACUGACGAUACCGGAAAGAUGCAACGCAGUUAAUCCCGCGGGCAGAAGGGGGGUGCAGAUGUAGGAAGGGUUAAUAGGAGGAAAAUUCUCGAAUGUUCUGGGCUGCGGCGGAGCAAGCAGAGGGUUGAGGACUGCCCAGGUGUAGAAGAACAGAGCUUAUGGUUCCUUGUCCCUUACGUAUGUAUCUUUUGAAUCGAGGGUUGGACUGAUUGUCUCGUUGUGUGUAUGUGUGGGCUUUUUUUAAGGGGGGGGUUCCUUUUUCUUUCUUUUUUUCUCUUUUUGGUUCCCUGUCACCCAAACUUUCUCUCCAAUUAUUGUUUUCUCUGUCUAAACAUUGUUGCUGCGUCCUGCGUCAGACCAAUGGAAUGAAGACACAGGUUACAAAAUGCCACUGCGUAGCUGUAAUGCAGAUUUGGGGAGAGAAGGCAAGGAGGACAGGAGUUUGCUGUGGCUACCCCUUUCAUCCCUUUUGCCCACUUUUAACACUGGGAACAACAAGGAGUGGGACAGGAGGUUUAACCAGACAAGUUUGAAUUUUCCAAUCUGGGGAGCCUGUAUCUGCAUAGUUCAGAAAGUGGCAAAUGAUGACGCAGUGAUCCUUUCCUGGUCUGUUCUCUGGGUUUUGAAAUCAUCAGAGGAGACAGGUACCCUGUGGAUCCCUAGAGCAGCUGAGACAGCCUUGGGUUAAGCAGUGGGGAUAGCCUUUAGCAAUUAAAUGUCAUCCUUUUGGCGUUGGAAAGUUGUUUACCUUGCUCUCUCCGUGUCUCCAUGUUGGCAGCCUUCCAGCUCACAUGUGAUAGUCUUCCCUGUACUGCUGCAUCAUUAACCGAGUGCCUGAGCCUGCACAUGAUUGGCUGGGGAGGGCUCUCCUUCUUAAACACACAUUUCUAUUGGAGGAAGAGCCCCUGGCAGGUGAAAUGCUGCCUCAGAUUGGCUGGGGUCAGGCUAUCAAAUCUAAAUGUUCCAUUGCUCUUGCUUUAAAAGGGGUUCAGAACAGUUUGUGACUUUUAAAAAAAAUUGUCUCUUUGCUAUUUCUGCCCCCCACCCCACCCUUGCUUUUCUCUCAAAGCAGGCAUUUUGGAAUGUGUGUCUGUGUUCUUAGAGCUGGCCAUUUAAAAAGGAAAGCACACAUACACAUACACAUACACACAAAUAUAUAGCAGGAACUUGACUAUUGUGGAUUAGUUUAGUUUAUUACUGGUGCAAGUGACGCAGGAGGAAAAACAAAUAUUCUGUGACUCAAGUUGCAUCAGUGACAGGCGUGUUUCCGGCUGCUGUGAGACCAGCCACGAUGACGUGACAUUAUUAUAGGCUUCAGAGGAGACAACAGAAAGAGACUUUGGUGGGUGUCUACCUCUGUCUGUGAGUGGAGAAACUCAGCAAUAUAUUCCUAUUUCAAACUCUUUGGGGUAGGGAGAGUGCCUGUCACCGGUGUAUCUGUAAACAUCCAGACAGAGCUGUACACUGCAGUGUGUCCUACUUUACAUCCGUUUAAAUUCAGAGUCAGAGCUGUUACUGGACCGAAUGGCAACAGAAUUUAGUGGUGCAAUGGCUUCCUUCCCCCACUGCCACUGUGAGCCCUUGCUCUGCAGAUCUCUCUCCUCCCAAGGCAGUCUUGCAUUUUGCAGUGCAAGUUCCGCAGAGGAGGACACGCAGGAGACACAACCAUAAUGGCUAUGAGGGACUCAUGCUGAGAUCAUGCUUGCUUAUGGAUGGAACAUGGAAAAUGCAACGCAGCUGGAAAGGCUCCCUAUCCCCUCAUGCUUCAAAUUCCUGAAUUUGAAGAGGAAGAGUAGAUGUUUCCACCAGAUGCGGAUUUGCUAAAAGGAGGAGGGCAAGUGAAUGGAUGGAUUACGGUGGACCCUGAAAACUGGAACUAAUGCUGAACACCAGCUGUCAUCAUGAUCAAGCACUAAACUGGGAGUAUCAUUUUAACCAUGGCUUGAAACUGGGACUCGGUGUGGAUUUAGCAAUAGCAUUUACCUUUCUAUACCACUUCAUAAUGAACUCAACCCUCUCUAAGCAGUUUAUAAUCUCAUCUUACCUAAUGGAUAAUCACUCAAAUAGGACAUGGGGUUUGGAGAUAAUUACUUUUGAUAGCUGGAACCUUGUAUCUUCUGAUGUAAAAUGACAUUUGGCAGUCAUUGGCACCAUUGAAAACUGAUGUGAGUGGUUACACCUUGCUCCUAUAGAUCAUGGAUGACCUCUGAUGGAAAGUUAUCAUUAGGACGUUUUGCUGAAGUGUAUAAACAAGAAGACAUCUUGGACUGCAUGUCAAUUUUGCUCUUCCACUUUCAUGUAGGUUAUAGAUAUUUCCUUGAUAUACAAGGAUGUUUUCUUUCUCCAGCAAAAUUGAAGAAACCGUUUACACUGAUGAUGAAGAAACUUUAUAGGCAUAUGCAGCAGAGAGAUAAGUAGUUGAAACACAGUGCCUGAAAAAUGAAGUCAAAGAAGAAAAUGACCAUAUGAAGAAUGGAAAAACUGCUAAAGAGGAUGUCGGGAUGAAAAAUAAAGGCACCAUGAAGACAAUUCCAGACAAAUAACAGAUACCUAAAUUUAAUCCAGUGAAGAAGAGAAAGCCAAUGCAAAAAAAAGGAAAGGUCAAAUGAGAGUUAAGAAAGAUGAAGAAUGAAUUCAGUGGAACCUUCCUCAGGACGAGAGAGCCAUUAACACCUUCAACUGCCUCUAGACCGUCCUCCCUGCCUGCAGUGGAACCUUCCUCAGGACGAGAGAGCCAUU